CAGUUCAGAUUGCAGGCUGCAACUCGCCUGCAUGAAGUCGGAAUUGCUAGUAAUCGCAGAUCAGCAUGCUGUGGUGAAUACGUUCCCGGGCCUUGUACACACCGCCCGUCACACCAUGGGAGUCGGUAACACCCGAAGUCGGUAGCCUAACCGUAAGGAGGGCGCCGCCGAAGGUGGGGAUUGAUGACUGGGGUGAAGUCGUAACAAGGUAAC
Molecule: ribosomal RNA, 213 nt
Filed under: uncultured bacterium
Lineage: Bacteria
Description: partial 16S ribosomal RNA
Rfam family: Bacterial small subunit ribosomal RNA
Source: RNAcentral